Molecule: ribosomal RNA, 914 nt
Filed under: uncultured Bacteroidota bacterium
Lineage: Bacteria; Pseudomonadati; Bacteroidota
Description: bacterial SSU rRNA
Rfam family: Bacterial small subunit ribosomal RNA
Source: RNAcentral
ACUUUGAUCAUGGCUCAGGAUGAACGCUAGCUACAGGCUUAACACAUGCAAGUCGAGGGGCAGCGGGAUUGAAGCUUGCUUCAAUUGCCGGCGACCGGCGCACGGGUGAGUAACGCGUAUCCAACCUUCCGUACACUCAGGGAUAGCCUUUCGAAAGAAAGAUUAAUACCUGAUGGUAUGAUGAGAUUGCAUGGUAUCAUCAUUAAAGAUUUAUCGGUGUACGAUGGGGAUGCGUUCCAUUAGGUAGUAGGCGGGGUAACGGCCCACCUAGCCAACGAUGGAUAGGGGUUCUGAGAGGAAGGUCCCCCACAUUGGAACUGAGACACGGUCCAAACUCCUACGGGAGGCAGCAGUGAGGAAUAUUGGUCAAUGGACGAGAGUCUGAACCAGCCAAGUAGCGUGAAGGAUGAAGGUCCUACGGAUUGUAAACUUCUUUUAUAAGGGAAUAAACCCUCCCACGUGUGGGAGCUUGUAUGUACCUUAUGAAUAAGCAUCGGCUAACUCCGUGCCAGCAGCCGCGGUAAUACGGAGGAUGCGAGCGUUAUCCGGAUUUAUUGGGUUUAAAGGGAGCGCAGACGGGUCGUUAAGUCAGCUGUGAAAGUUUGGGGCUCAACCUUAAAAUUGCAGUUGAUACUGGCGUCCUUGAGUGCGGUUGAGGUGUGCGGAAUUCGUGGUGUAGCGGUGAAAUGCUUAGAUAUCACGAAGAACUCCGAUUGCGAAGGCAGCACACUAAUCCGUAACUGACGUUCAUGCUCGAAAGUGUGGGUAUCAAACAGGAUUAGAUACCCUGGUAGUCCACACGGUAAACGAUGGAUACUCGCUGUUGGCGAUAUACUGUCAGCGGCUUAGCGAAAGCGUUAAGUAUCCCACCUGGGGAGUACGCCGGCAACGGUGCAACUCAAAGGAAUUGACGG